GUCGGUCGAUUUCGAACAGACGCUAAAUUCAUUUUAUUUUGCCAAUUUCAGCGUCGUUUGUCAACCGUUGAUCGACGCAAAAUCCUUAAAAUGACCGACUGACUCUAAAUAACCGUUAUCUAGUUCUCAACUUGUUGUGACUCAAAAUAACCGUUAUCUAGUUCUCAACUUGUUGUGCUAGAUUGGUUGUGGCAAUAUCAGAUGUGAUAGUCAUUUAGGCUGGAGCCGUUGCCAGCAGUUGACGGAGGUUUUGUG
This 255-nucleotide long non-coding RNA is filed under the name Linum usitatissimum (flax). RNAcentral's name for it is "long non-coding RNA (LUSI_LNC006219)". Lineage: Eukaryota; Viridiplantae; Streptophyta; Magnoliopsida; Malpighiales; Linaceae. The record is from RNAcentral.